Molecule: long non-coding RNA, 357 nt
Organism: Armigeres subalbatus
Lineage: Eukaryota; Metazoa; Arthropoda; Insecta; Diptera; Culicidae
Exons: 3
Source: RefSeq, a predicted model, not a curated record
UGGCAACCAGUUGGUCGAGAUAAAGUUUUUUAGCCUCGACUAAGUAUCCGUCGAUUUCUGUUGCUGUGUAGCUAUUUCAGAUACUGCUGGAACCAAAAAAGUAAACGGCCAUCUACUGGAUGUUGGUUAAAAAAAACUUUUGCCACCCGAUUGUAGCAAAUGUUUUUAUCACCCAUGGUCCCGGAUCCGGCAAAAAUACGGCGCACUUAUAUAAAGAUGAAGGAAAUUCAUGGCGUAAUGUCCUCAGAAGACUAUGUUGCACACCCUUCUGGCCAGAGGCUUUGUUCUCGGGUUGACGUUUAAAAGUGGCCACCGUGUUUCGGGAGAUAAAUGAAGAAAAAAGCUUAAAAUAAAAAG